GGCAGGCUUAACACAUGCAAGUCGAGGGGCAUCGGGAGGGAAGCUUGCUUUCCUUGCCGGCGACCGGCUUACGGGUGAGUAACACGUAUGCAACCUGCCCUCUUCAGGGGGACAACCUUCCGAAAGGGAGGCUAAUCCCGCGUAUAUCGGUUUCGGGCAUCCGAGAUCGAGGAAAGAUUCAUCGGAAGAGGAUGGGCAUGCGGCGCAUUAGCUAGACGGCGGGGUAACGGCCCACCGUGGCGACGAUGCGUAGGGGUUCUGAGAGGAAGGUCCCCCACACUGGUACUGAGACACGGACCAGACUCCUACGGGAGGCAGCAGUGAGGAAUAUUGGUCAAUGGGAGAGAUCCUGAACCAGCCAAGCCGCGUGAGGGAAGACGGCCCUAUGGGUUGUAAACCUCUUUUGUCGGAGAACAAAACCCGGGACGAGUCCCGGACUGCGUGUAUCCGAAGAAAAAGCAUCGGCUAACUCCGUGCCAGCAGCCGCGGUAAUACGGAGGAUGCGAGCGUUAUCCGGAUUUAUUGGGUUUAAAGGGUGCGUAGGCGGUCCGUUAAGUCAGCGGUAAAAUUGCGGGGCUCAACCCCGUCGAGCCGUUGAAACUGGCAGACUUGAGUUGGCGAGAAGUACGCGGAAUGCGCGGUGUAGCGGUGAAAUGCAUAGAUAUCGCGCAGAACUCCGAUUGCGAAGGCAGCGUACCGGCGCCAGACUGACGCUGAGGCACGAAAGCGUGGGGAUCGAACAGGAUUAGAUACCCUGGUAGUCCACGCAGUAAACGAUGAAUGCUGGUUGUCCGGGUCGAAUGAGAUCUGGGCGGCGAAGCGAAAGCGAUAAGCAUUCCACCUGGGGGAGUACGCCGGCAACGGUGAAACUCAAAGGAAUUGACGGGGGCCCGCACAAGCGGAGGAACAUGUGGUUUAAUUCGAUGAUACGCGAGGAACCUUACCCGGGCUCAAACGGGAGUGGAAUGGACCAGAGACGGUUCAGCCUACGGGCCGCUUCCGAGGUGCUGCAUGGUUGUCGUCAGCUCGUGCCGUGAGGUGUCGGCUUAAGUGCCAUAACGAGCGCAACCCCCGCCGGCAGUUGCUAACGGGCAAUGCCGAGGACUCUGCCGGGACUGCCGCCGCAAGGCGAGAGGAAGGCGGGGAUGACGUCAAAUCAGCACGGCCCUUACGUCCGGGGCGACACACGUGUUACAAUGGCGUAAACAAAGGGAGGCAAAGCGGUGACGCCAAGCAAAUCCCAAAAAUAACGUCCCAGUUCGGAUUGCAGCCUGCAACUCGGCUGCAUGAAGCUGGAAUCGCUAGUAAUCGCGGAUCAGAAUGUCGCGGUGAAUACGUUCCCGGGUCUUGUACAAAGCGCCCGUCAAG
Molecule: ribosomal RNA, 1368 nt
Filed under: uncultured bacterium
Lineage: Bacteria
Description: bacterial SSU rRNA
Rfam family: Bacterial small subunit ribosomal RNA
Source: RNAcentral